Molecule: long non-coding RNA, 752 nt
Organism: Capra hircus (goat)
Lineage: Eukaryota; Metazoa; Chordata; Mammalia; Artiodactyla; Bovidae
Source: Ensembl
CUGUGCUGGUGACUAAUAAAGGCUCCUGACGUUUCUUGCCGAGUCUGGGAAGCCAGAAAUAAAAGCCACUUCCAGCUAGGUGUGCUCCAGCCUGAACAUGGACCAUUCACAGGAGGCACUGGUCCAGCCAUGCGGCACCUAUGGACAGGCACUGCUGUGCUUGGUGUCAGCUGCAGCCGUCCCAGGGCCUUUGAAUGACAGCCAAAGGUGUCUCCUCACCACCGGCAGAGCAAUCAUUCUCCAGACGUCAGGCAGACAUUUUCACAGCUCUCCCCACACUAGAGAUUUCUAGUUCUCCUGAAGACCCAGGGUAAGAGAUUGUGCUGUCACUGGACAGAACAAGAUAGAAACAGUCAAUACCCAUGAUGCUCAGAUGUGACAUUCUCCACUAGCAUCUCAAGAGUGCCAGGGAGCACAUGGGCAAGCAGCAGGGAGCGAUGACGACUGUGAUGGACCACACACUGCCACUGUCUCAGACACGGAGCCCGUCACCAACUUGCUCCUCCUCCAAGAUCAGUUCCUCCAGUGACCGUCUCUACCAAGAGAAUGAAGAGCGCUGGACCAGAUACCACAGGACAUUCCUGAUGCCUGAGACACAGUCCCUUUCUUCAAAAUACUAUCUAAGUGUAGGAAAGAGGAACAUGCAGAGAACACAUGGAGAAAAGCCACCAGAAAGUUCCAGGGAAGAUGUUAUGAAAGUCUGGGGAAGACAGAACUUAUUUCACUUGGUUAAGCAGACGAAAGCCAUGUGA